RNAcentral lists this ribosomal RNA (382 nucleotides) under uncultured bacterium. RNAcentral's name for it is "bacterial SSU rRNA". It matches the Rfam family "Bacterial small subunit ribosomal RNA", at positions 30 to 416 of the family's 1533-position model. The record is from RNAcentral.
AUUGAACGCUGGCGGCAUGCCUUACGCAUGCAAGUCGAACGGUAACGGGCCUUCGGUGCGACGAGUGGCGAACGGGUGAGUAAUGCAUCGGAACGUACCUUUCAGUGGGGGAUAACGUAGCGAAAGUUACGCUAAUACCGCAUAUUCUGUGAGCAGGAAAGCAGGGGAUCGCAAGACCUUGCGCUGAUUGAGCGGCCGAUGUCAGAUUAGCUAGUUGGUGAGGUAAAGGCUCACCAAGGCGACGAUCUGUAGCGGGUCUGAGAGGAUGAUCCGCCACACUGGAACUGAGACACGGUCCAGACUCCUACGGGAGGCAGCAGUGGGGAAUUUUGGACAAUGGGGGCAACCCUGAUCCAGCCAUGCCGCGUGAGUGAAGAAGGCC